GAUGAACGCUGGCGGCGUGCCUAAUACAUGCAAGUCGAGCGAACAGACGAGGAGCUUGCUCCUCUGACGUUAGCGGCGGACGGGUGAGUAACACGUGGAUAACCUACCUAUAAGACUGGGAUAACUUCGGGAAACCGGAGCUAAUACCGGAUAAUAUAUUGAACCGCAUGGUUCAAUAGUGAAAGACGGUUUUGCUGUCACUUAUAGAUGGAUCCGCGCCGCAUUAGCUAGUUGGUAAGGUAACGGCUUACCAAGGCGACGAUGCGUAGCCGACCUGAGAGGGUGAUCGGCCACACUGGAACUGAGACACGGUCCAGACUCCUACGGGAGGCAGCAGUAGGGAAUCUUCCGCAAUGGGCGAAAGCCUGACGGAGCAACGCCGCGUGAGUGAUGAAGGUCUUCGGUUCGUAAAACUCUGUUAUUAGGGAAGAACAAAUGUGUAAGUAACUAUGCACGUCUUGACGGUACCUAAGCAGAAAGCCACGGCUAACUACGU
RNAcentral lists this ribosomal RNA (496 nucleotides) under uncultured bacterium. RNAcentral's name for it is "partial 16S ribosomal RNA". It matches the Rfam family "Bacterial small subunit ribosomal RNA", at positions 28 to 506 of the family's 1533-position model. The record is from RNAcentral.